This 113-nucleotide ribosomal RNA is filed under the name uncultured bacterium. RNAcentral describes it as "partial 16S ribosomal RNA". It matches the Rfam family "Bacterial small subunit ribosomal RNA", at positions 1355 to 1482 of the family's 1533-position model. The record is from RNAcentral.
UGUUGCGGUGAAUACGUCCCCGGGUCUUGUACACACCGCCCGUCAAACCAUGAAAGUGACCAACUACCCGAAGUCCGAUUCGUCGGCCUAAGGUGGGGGGCAUGAUUGGGGUU